ACAACCAAGAUCUAAAUUUGUGAUUAAUCCAGUUGGUUGGGCUAGGUGCCUGGGGAGCUUUGGGGAAGGAGGGACUGAGCACCCCACCCUCAAGUGGCAAAGGGUGUCUUCUACAAGUCUCCAUCAGCUCCACUCUCCACACGCCCCACACACAUUCAAUCACAGCCUCAAGUUCAAAAGUGAAUUAAAACUCAAAGAAGCCUGGGGACAGGGACAAGAGUACUUCUGUCAUUCAUUCUCUUCCCCUGCUUCCUUGGGGACAAGGGUGGCCUGGAGGAACAAUAGUGUCCCCUGGCCCCUUCUUCCUGCAUUGGGUUAGAAAAGGCAGCAGAAAGCAGUGGGGAUGACAAAGACACACACACACACACACACACACACACACACACACACACACACCCCAGGCUUGAGAAGGGAGGAGGAGGAGGCGUCUCUGGCUGGACGGACAGACUGUUAUUUUGGUGGUGGGCAUGGUCCCAGAUAGGGGCAGCGUUCCCCUUUUUCCUGGCUUUUCAGGGAGAGCAGCAAGAGAAAGAAAGAAGCAAACGAAAUUCCUGAAUGGAUAAGAGAUGCUACGUCAGCGGUACUGGAGCCGCAUCCUCCACUCCACGAGAAGAGAAGAGCUAGGAGAGACCAGCGGGCGGUAGCUGCGGCGAGUGGCCUCUCCGUGCGGCACAGAGGCAAGAAGCAGCCAUCCAUCCAGAAGCAGCCUCCGUGUUCCGUUUGUCCGGAUGUCAUCGUAGGUGGCCGGCAUCUCUGGCUUUGGGCUUCUCCCCUGGGGGCGGGUGGGUGCUCCACCCUCCCGCCCACUCUCUGAGGACAUGAGGAACAUGGUAUCCAGCACCACGGACAGCUCCCAGCGAUCCCAGAGGACUCAAGGCUAUGGGUGAUGUCGAAGGUGCGGAAGAAUCAAGUUGGAAAGACCAGCAGGAGACAGACAGAGUAAGGUUCCUUGAAUGCUUGGUUUAUGUGCCUGGCUGGAGGAGACACCCAUGGCCUUGCAGAGGGAGCGUUCUGGUGGGAAAGCAGACACAACCCACCCUAGGCCCGUGGUUUCCCUGCAAGAAGCCCAGUGGCUUUCUGGAGGACACUUUUCCUGGAGGAAGUGACUCAAGAGCAGCAUAAGCCAGGCUCUAUGGAAUGUUGGGUGAGCUGCUUGAGGAACUCCAAGGCCUGUCCCACAGUCUUCCAGCCUCCGACUCUCCGGCCCUCAGCGAGGAAGUCCCACUGGUUUUUUUGGUUGGUUUUUUUUUUUUUUUUUAAGGUUUUUUGGUUUUUUUUUUUUUUUCUCAUUCCUGUCUUGGGAGCUUUCCCCAACCAGGAGAGUGAAGAUGGGCGGAGCUGUCACACCAACUGUUAGCCUGCCUUGGCUGAGAGGAGAGGAGGCGAGGAGGGAGCGACCACCCAGCUUUAGUCGUUUUAAAACAGCUCCUGACCCUAGAAGAAGGGAAAUGGAGAUGAAGACCCAAUUGACUUGAGAGAGUGAUCUUUCAGCAGACUGAUCGAACACACAGGCUUCUCAGCCCACUCCCUCCAGUCAAGGUUAAGGCCUGGCAAAGGUGGAGGAAGAGAAGCUGAGGAGAAAAAGGCGAGGAGAGCCUAGGCACAGGAAGGUGACCGCUUCCCUCCCUCCCAGUGCUGAUUUCCUGUGGACCAGAUUCCAGCACAGUGGAGGGCCAGAGCUCAGGGAACAGACCCAGCAGCACAGCAAGUCUCCAAGGAAAGCUCUAGCAGUCUCCAGGGGCUGAAGGCAGGACUGGGGAAGCGGCUAGCCAGGCUGCAGAAGGCAAAUGCUCCCAGACGGCUGUCCAGCACGCAUCCGCCUUCCUAGCCAAGUUUCCUGGGCUCCUGCCACAGAUCUAAGCCUCAUCCUGACAUCCUGCCCUCUGUGCUCUGGGAUGGCCCAGGGGAGAUGCUUAGCCUUGGCUCCUUGUCUGCUGGUGGAGGGGACACACACCCUUUCUGGACCACAGACCAAAAAGAAGACCUGACGUCAUCCUGAGCACCCCCGCCAUGCAGAGUGUGUUCGCAGACUGCCAACGGGCUGGCUCCGGCCAGCAGAAGUGAACAGAGGUGGAGGUUCAGCCUGACAGCUUCUCCCCAAAGCCAUGGAGAGAAAACCUUACCACCCCCACCGCCCAGCUACUUCCAGCAAGUUGUCCAGCCUGACCCCUCUAUUUCCCCUGUUGUCUCUUAUCUGGGUCCCUGAGACCCACCCCAUCUCCAAUAAAGAACAUUGCAUACUGUG
RNAcentral lists this long non-coding RNA (2245 nucleotides) under Mus musculus (house mouse). RNAcentral describes it as "predicted gene 3764, transcript variant 2 (Gm3764)". Lineage: Eukaryota; Metazoa; Chordata; Mammalia; Rodentia; Muridae. The record is from RNAcentral.